Onthophagus taurus is the source of this 258-nucleotide non-coding RNA. The record is from RefSeq and is a predicted model, not a curated record. NCBI's taxonomy places the organism in Eukaryota, Metazoa, Arthropoda, Insecta, Coleoptera, Scarabaeidae.
AAAUGAGACAAUUCCUUCUAAUUCAGCAACAACAAAGGCGCCACAUUUAAUGAAUGGAACUUUUCCAGUAUGCUUGAACAGCUAAACAAUUUGCAUUGUCGGGAAGAAGAAUUUGUUCUACUUCAUAGGGUUGGAAAAGUUUUACAUCUUUAGGCCAUGGUUCAUGAGCUAAAAAACAUUUAAUAAGUUAUGUUUGUGUGGAGAUUAGAAUUGAAAUAAAAAUAAGAGAAAGUGGAACUAUUACGAUACGGAAAAAGU